GCUUGACUGCGAGACCUACAAGUCGAGCAGGGUCGAAAGACGGACUUAGUGAUCCGGUGGUUCCGCAUGGAAGGGCCAUCGCUCAACGGAUAAAAGCUACCCCGGGGAUAACAGGCUUAUCUCCCCCAAGAGUUCACAUCGACGGGGAGGUUUGGCACCUCGAUGUCGGCUCAUCGCAUCCUGGGGCUGUAGUCGGUCCCAAGGGUUGGGCUGUUCGCCCAUUAAAGCGGUACGCGAGCUGGGUUCAGAACGUCGUGAGACAGUUCGGUCCCUAUCCGUCGUGGGCGUAGGAAAUUUGAGAGGAGCUGUCCUUAGUACGAGAGGACCGGGAUGGACAUACCUCUGGUGUACCAGUUGUCGUGCCAACGGCAUAGCUGGGUAGCUAUGUAUGGACGGGAUAAGUGCUGAAAGCAUCUAAGCAUGAAGCCCCCCUCAAGAUGAGAUUUCCCA
Molecule: ribosomal RNA, 450 nt
Filed under: Staphylococcus haemolyticus
Lineage: Bacteria; Bacillati; Bacillota; Bacilli; Caryophanales; Staphylococcaceae
Description: partial 23S ribosomal RNA
Rfam family: Bacterial large subunit ribosomal RNA
Source: RNAcentral